RNAcentral lists this non-coding RNA (27 nucleotides) under Bombyx mori (domestic silkworm). Lineage: Eukaryota; Metazoa; Arthropoda; Insecta; Lepidoptera; Bombycidae. The record is from RNAcentral.
UGAAUCAUAACAAAACGUAAUGAGGUC